CCGGGAAACUGGGAAUAAUUCCGGAUAACGCACAUAUGCUGGAAUGCUUUAUGCGUAAAAUGGAUUCGUCUGCCCAAGGAUGGGUCUGCGGCCUAUCAGGUAGUAGUGGGUGUAAUGUACCUACUAGCCUACAACGGGUACGGGUUGUGAGAGCAAGAGCCCGGAGAUGGAUUCUGAGACAUGAAUCCAGGCCCUACGGGGCGCAGCAGGCGCGAAAACUUUACAAUGCGGGAAACCGUGAUAAGGGGACACCGAGUGCUAGCAUCAUAUGCUGGCUGUCCAGGUGUGUAAAAUACACCUGUUAGCAAGGGCCGGGCAAGACCGGUGCCAGCCGCCGCGGUAACACCGGCGGCCCGAGUGGUGAUCGUGAUUAUUGGGUCUAAAGGGUCCGUAGCCGGUUUGGUCAGUCCUCCGGGAAAUCUGAUAGCUCAACUAUUAGGCUUUCGGGGGAUACUGCCAGACUUGGAACCGGGAGAGGUAAGAGGUACUACAGGGGUAGGAGUGAAAUCUUGUAAUCCCUGUGGGACCACCUGUGGCGAAGGCGUCUUACCAGAACGGGUUCGACGGUGAGGGACGAAAGCUGGGGGCACGAACCGGAUUAGAUACCCGGGUAGUCCCAGCCGUAAACGAUGCUCGCUAGGUGUCAGGCAUGGCGCGACCGUGUCUGGUGCCGCAGGGAAGCCGUGAAGCGAGCCACCUGGGAAGUACGGCCGCAAGGCUG
This 721-nucleotide ribosomal RNA is filed under the name uncultured Methanosarcinaceae archaeon. RNAcentral describes it as "SSU rRNA". It matches the Rfam family "Archaeal small subunit ribosomal RNA", at positions 132 to 851 of the family's 1478-position model. Lineage: Archaea; Methanobacteriati; Methanobacteriota; Methanomicrobia; Methanosarcinales; Methanosarcinaceae. The record is from RNAcentral.